RNAcentral lists this ribosomal RNA (855 nucleotides) under Xylaria arbuscula. RNAcentral's name for it is "LSU rRNA". It matches the Rfam family "Eukaryotic large subunit ribosomal RNA", at positions 35 to 917 of the family's 3401-position model. The record is from RNAcentral. Lineage: Eukaryota; Fungi; Ascomycota; Sordariomycetes; Xylariales; Xylariaceae.
UAAGCAUAUCAAUAAGCGGAGGAAAAGAAACCAACAGGGAUUGCCCUAGUAACGGCGAGUGAAGCGGCAACAGCUCAAAUUUGAAAUCUGGCCUUCGGGUCCGAGUUGUAAUUUGUAGAGGAUGCUUUUGGCGCGGUGCCUUCCGAGUUCCCUGGAACGGGACGCCUUAGAGGGUGAGAGCCCCGUACGGUUGGACACCAAGCCUCUGUAAAGCUCCUUCGACGAGUCGAGUAGUUUGGGAAUGCUGCUCUAAAUGGGAGGUAAAUUUCUUCUAAAGCUAAAUAUUGGCCAGAGACCGAUAGCGCACAAGUAGAGUGAUCGAAAGAUGAAAAGCACUUUGAAAAGAGGGUUAAAUAGCACGUGAAAUUGUUGAAAGGGAAGCGUUUGCGACCAGACUUUUCCCUAGCGGAUCAUCCGGUGUUCUCACCGGUGCACUUCGCUAGGUUAAGGCCAGCAUCGGUUUCUGUAGGGGGAUAAAAGCUUGGGGAAUGUAGCUCCCUCGGGAGUGUUAUAGCCUCUUGUAUAAUACCCUUACGGGGACCGAGGACCGCGCUUUUGCAAGGAUGCUGGCGUAAUGGUUGUCAACGACCCGUCUUGAAACACGGACCAAGGAGUCGAACAUUUGUGCGAGUGUUUGGGUGUUAAACCCUCACGCGUAAUGAAAGUGAACGGAGGUGAGAGCCCUUACGGGUGCAUCAUCGACCGAUCCUGAUGUCUUCGGAUGGAUUUGAGUAAGAGCAUAACUGUUCGGACCCGAAAGAUGGUGAACUAUGCGUGGAUAGGGUGAAGCCAGAGGAAACUCUGGUGGAGGCUCGCAGCGGUUCUGACGUGCAAAUCGAUCGUCAAAUCUGCGCA